This 771-nucleotide ribosomal RNA is filed under the name uncultured Thermoplasmata archaeon. RNAcentral describes it as "bacterial SSU rRNA". It matches the Rfam family "Archaeal small subunit ribosomal RNA", at positions 100 to 874 of the family's 1478-position model. The record is from RNAcentral. Lineage: Archaea; Methanobacteriati; Thermoplasmatota; Thermoplasmata.
GUGGAGAACAUGCCCUAAGGUGGGGGAUAACCUCGGGAAACUGAGGAUAAUACCCCAUAGUUCAGAGGCUCUGGAAUGACUUCUGGACGAAAACUCCGGUGCCUUAGGAUUGCUCUGCGGCCUAUCAGGUUGUAGUGGGGGUAACGGCCCCACUAGCCUACAACGGGUACGGGCGUUGAGAGACGUCGCCCGGAGAUGAACUCUGAGACACGAGCUCAGGCCCUACGGGGCGCAGCAGGCGCAAAAACUGCACAAUACUGGAAACAGUGAUGCGGGAAUUCCAAGUGCCAGGACAUUGUCCUGGCUGUUUUCAAGCCUAAAAAGCUUGGAGAGUAAGGGCUGGGUAAGACGGGUGCCAGCCGCCGCGGUAAUACCUGCAGCCCAAGUGGUGGCCGUUAUUAUUGGGCCUAAAACGUCCGUAGCCGGCUUGGUAGAUGCCUGUGUAAAUCGAACGGCUUAACCGUUCGAAUUGCGGGUAGACCGCCAAGCUUGGGACCGGGAGAGUCACGAGGUACUCCGAGGGUAGAGGUGAAAUUCUGUAAUCCUCGGGGGACCACCGGUGGCGAAGGCGUCGUGAUAGAACGGCUCCGACGGUGAGGGACGAAGCCCUGGGGCGCAAACCGGAUUAGAUACCCGGGUAGUCCAGGGUGUAAACGCUGUGGGCUUGGUGUCGGCAGUCCUACGGGGGCAGCCGGUGCCGGAGAGAAGUUGUUAAGCCCACUGCCUGGGGAGCACGGCCGCAAGGUUGAAACUUAAAGGAAUUGGCGGGGG